CGUUGCGAAGCUGGUUGAUGGGGUAGAGGGGACCCUCGCGGUACACCACGUGGUAGGCUACAUCCUGCCGGGCGGAGAGCACCGCCGAAGUCUCCACGAAACGCAGGAACUGCUGGGCCUCUGCGUCUGUCAGAUGAGAAAACUGAGGGCCAGAGAUACUAAGACUUGCCCGUGGUCCCACAGCUGAAGAGGGGCAGCUCCCGGCAUCUGAAUGAUUGCCAAAGCCCAAGCUCCUGCCACCAGCUCCAGCGUCUCCGACUCCCGGAACUCCUCGAGCAUCAGGCAGUUCCCGUCGUACUCCAGGAAGGUCAGGUGGAGGUUGCGGAAGGAUUCCACGUGCUUGUUCUUCACGCGAAGCUUUUUUGCAUUGAAGAUGUCCUGGGCAGAGACGGCCAUCACACCUCGGCCCAGAGCCUGCCCCACCCCCCUCCAAAGCUCCCCCAGACCUGGUCUGCCAGUGAGGUGGCGGGUAGGGUAAGGAGCUCCUGCGUGGCGGUCAGCUUCCACAUCUGCUCCCAGCCAGCCUGCCGAAGCCGGUCCAGCCGCAGAAGAAUCACGCCUGCUCAUGAGGAGAGGUUGUCAUGCCCUCCUGGGGCCAGGGCUCAUAAGGGUGUCUUUUGAAUGCUUAUCUUGUGACGUGUUGAUAUGUUCUGACUCUUCAAACAUGACCAUGGACUAGCUCUGUCAA
Molecule: long non-coding RNA, 688 nt
Organism: Phacochoerus africanus (Common warthog)
Lineage: Eukaryota; Metazoa; Chordata; Mammalia; Artiodactyla; Suidae
Exons: 4
Source: RefSeq, a predicted model, not a curated record